GACGAACGCUGGCGGCGUGCCUAAUACAUGCAAGUAGAACGCUGAAGAGAGGAGCUUGCUCUUCUUGGAUGAGUUGCGAACGGGUGAGUAACGCGUAGGUAACCUGCCUUGUAGCGGGGGAUAACUAUUGGAAACGAUAGCUAAUACCGCAUAACAAUGGAUGACACAUGUCAUUUAUUUGAAAGGGGCAAUUGCUCCACUACAAGAUGGACCUGCGUUGUAUUAGCUAGUAGGUGAGGUAAUGGCUCACCUAGGCGACGAUACAUAGCCGACCUGAGAGGGUGAUCGGCCACACUGGGACUGAGACACGGCCCAGACUCCUACGGGAGGCAGCAGUAGGGAAUCUUCGGCAAUGGGGGCAACCCUGACCGAGCAACGCCGCGUGAGUGAAGAAGGUUGUCGGAUCGUAAAGCUCUGUUGUAAGUCAAGAACGGGUGUGAGAGUGGAAAGUUCACACUGUGACGGUAGCUGACCAGAAAGGGACGGCUAACUACGUG
This 497-nucleotide ribosomal RNA is filed under the name uncultured bacterium. RNAcentral describes it as "partial 16S ribosomal RNA". It matches the Rfam family "Bacterial small subunit ribosomal RNA", at positions 28 to 507 of the family's 1533-position model. The record is from RNAcentral.